GAUGAACGCUGGCGGCGUGCCUAAUACAUGCAAGUAGAACGCUGAAGGAAGGAGCUUGCUCUUUCCGGAUGAGUUGCGAACGGGUGAGUAACGCGUAGGUAACCUGCCUGGUAGCGGGGGAUAACUAUUGGAAACGAUAGCUAAUACCGCAUAACAGUAGAUGUUGCAUGAUAUCUACUUAAAAGGUGCAAUUGCACCACUACCAGAUGGACCUGCGUUGUAUUAGCUAGUUGGUGAGGUAACGGCUCACCAAGGCGACGAUACAUAGCCGACCUGAGAGGGUGAUCGGCCACACUGGGACUGAGACACGGCCCAGACUCCUACGGGAGGCAGCAGUAGGGAAUCUUCGGCAAUAGACGGAAGUCUGACCGAGCAACGCCGCGUGAGUGAAGAAGGUUUUCGGAUCGUAAAGCUCUGUUGUAAGAGAAGAACGAGGGUGAGAGUGGAAAGUUCACACUGUGACGGUAUCUUACCAGAAAGGGACGGCUAACUACGUG
Molecule: ribosomal RNA, 497 nt
Filed under: uncultured bacterium
Lineage: Bacteria
Description: partial 16S ribosomal RNA
Rfam family: Bacterial small subunit ribosomal RNA
Source: RNAcentral